GAACGAGAGAGUGGAGCAAUACAUGAGUAAAGUGGCGACCGGGUGAGUAACACGUGACUAACCUACCUCCGAGUGGGGAAUAACUCCGGGAAACCGGGGCUAAUACCGCAUAACAUCGCAAGAUCAAAGCAGCAAUGCGCUUGGAGAGGGGGUCGCGGCUGAUUAGCUCGUUGGCGGGGUAACGGCCCACCAAGGCGAAGAUCGGUAUCCGGCCUGAGAGGGCGCACGGACACACUGGAACUGAAACACGGUCCAUACUCCUACGGGAGGCAGCAGUGGGGAAUUUUGCGCAAUGGGGGAAACCCUGACGCAGCAACGCCGCGUGGAGGAUGAAGCCCUUUGGGGCGUAAACUCCUUUCGACUCGGACGAUAAUGACGGUACGAGUGGAAGAAGCACCGGCUAACUCUGUGCCAGCAGCCGCGGUAAU
This 428-nucleotide ribosomal RNA is filed under the name uncultured bacterium. RNAcentral describes it as "bacterial SSU rRNA". It matches the Rfam family "Bacterial small subunit ribosomal RNA", at positions 64 to 524 of the family's 1533-position model. The record is from RNAcentral.